GCCGGGAUGGCGAAACUGGCAGACGCAGGGGACUUAAAAUCCCUUGAUCCGUAAGGGUCGUGUGGGUUCGAUUCCCGCUCCCGGCA
Molecule: transfer RNA, 86 nt
Filed under: Luteitalea pratensis
Lineage: Bacteria; Pseudomonadati; Acidobacteriota; Vicinamibacteria; Vicinamibacterales; Vicinamibacteraceae
Rfam family: tRNA
About the family: Transfer RNA (tRNA) molecules are approximately 80 nucleotides in length. Their secondary structure includes four short double-helical elements and three loops (D, anti-codon, and T loops).
Source: Rfam by way of RNAcentral